GUAUCCUUAGCUCAAUGGCAGAGCAUCCUAAUCCGAAGGUUCGCAGGUUCGAUUCCUGCAGGAUACG
Molecule: transfer RNA, 67 nt
Filed under: Limosilactobacillus mucosae
Lineage: Bacteria; Bacillati; Bacillota; Bacilli; Lactobacillales; Lactobacillaceae
Description: tRNA-OTHER
Rfam family: tRNA
About the family: Transfer RNA (tRNA) molecules are approximately 80 nucleotides in length.
Source: RNAcentral